RNAcentral lists this long non-coding RNA (258 nucleotides) under Mytilus galloprovincialis (Mediterranean mussel). The record is from RNAcentral. Lineage: Eukaryota; Metazoa; Mollusca; Bivalvia; Mytilida; Mytilidae.
AUUUUUCUUAAACUAUAAGUAAUGUGUCAAACUAUAUAUAUGUUGUAUAGAAGCAUUGUCAGCUGUACCUGUCUGCCUGGCAUGGUUCAUCUGACCUGGACCUCUUUUUCAAGGUUCAUUGGUCUUUGUUUAGCUAUCUUGGUUAAUGUUAAGUUUAUGUGACAGUUGUAAUAAAGCUUAGCUUUAUACUUAGGACUAUCAACAUAAUAUCAAUGAUUAGUAUAGAAGGCGAGACAUUUCAGUGUGUGCACUCUUGUU